RNAcentral lists this ribosomal RNA (460 nucleotides) under Salmonella enterica subsp. enterica serovar Anatum. RNAcentral describes it as "bacterial SSU rRNA". It matches the Rfam family "Bacterial small subunit ribosomal RNA", at positions 338 to 795 of the family's 1533-position model. The record is from RNAcentral. Lineage: Bacteria; Pseudomonadati; Pseudomonadota; Gammaproteobacteria; Enterobacterales; Enterobacteriaceae.
CCUACGGGAGGCAGCAGUGAGGAAUAUUGGUCAAUGGGCGUGAGCCUGAACCAGCCAAGUAGCGUGCAGGAUGACGGCCCUAUGGGUUGUAAACUGCUUUUAUGCGGGGAUAAAGUCGGCCACGUGUGGCUGUUUGCAGGUACCGCAUGAAUAAGGACCGGCUAAUUCCGUGCCAGCAGCCGCGGUAAUACGGAAGGUCCGGGCGUUAUCCGGAUUUAUUGGGUUUAAAGGGAGCGUAGGCUGGAGAUUAAGCGUGUUGUGAAAUGCCGCGGCUCAACCGUGGCCCUGCAGCGCGAACUGGUUUUCUUGAGUGCGCCGAAAGCGGGCGGAAUUUGUGGUGUAGCGGUGAAAUGCUUAGAUAUCACGAGGAACCCCGAUUGCGAAGGCAGCUCGCUGUAGCGUAACUGACGCUGAAGCUCGAAAGUGCGGGUAUCGAACAGGAUUAGAUACCCUAGUAGUC